Poecilia latipinna (sailfin molly) is the source of this 533-nucleotide long non-coding RNA. RefSeq lists it as uncharacterized. The record is from RefSeq and is a predicted model, not a curated record. NCBI's taxonomy places the organism in Eukaryota, Metazoa, Chordata, Actinopteri, Cyprinodontiformes, Poeciliidae. The transcript is spliced from 4 exons.
UGUAACCAUGUGAUUGGCUAACUUUCUAUUUUGGUUCACAUGCAACUGAAUAGGUGCACCUAAUAAAGAGGCAAGUGAGUGCAAAAUAAAAUAAAAAUAGAAGGUUCAUUUUAAAACAGCUGGAAUCUCAUUGUGGGCUUUUACCGAUUCAGUGCCAGGAAGGAAUUUGAAGAGAAGAACUCGGCAUCCGGUUGGAGUUAGCAUGUUGUUUCUGUUUUGUGUUACAUCUGCGGUCUGAUCCAGGACUGAGGGUUCAUUGUAAAUUGGAGCCCAAAGCCGACAGAGUGGUGGACUGCAAGAUUCAUGUCUCUUGGAUAACAUAGAGGUGAUUCAAGCCCAGAAAUGUAUCGUCACGGUUCAGAUGAUCUCUCUGUGAUCCUAACCGCUGACCCAGAAGAACGCAACACUGAAAAACACCAGGGCUGCUCUAGUCAAGAGGAUGAAACCGUUCCAUCAGCGAGUGGCGCCUCUGCUGUCACUGGCAUCAGACAGCUCUCGAGAAGGCCGUAAUUAAACAACUCGAGCUCUGGUAA